AGUAAUGCGUGAGCGAACCUGCCUCGUGGGGGACAACAGUUGAAACGGCUGCUAAUACCGCAUAACGUAUCGUGGAGGCAUCUCCGUGAUACCAAAGAUUUAUUGCCGAGGGAUGGGCUCACGUCUGAUUAGCUUGUUGGUGAGGUAACGGCUCACCAAGGCUGCGAUCAGUAGCCGGACUGAGAGGUUGAAACGGCCACAUUGGGACUGAGAUACGGCCCAGACUCCUACGGGAGGCAGCAGUGGGGAAUAUUGGGCAAAUGGGGGAAACCCUGACCCAGCAACGCCGCGUGAAGGAAGAAGGCUUUCGGGUUGUAAACUUCUUUUAACAGGGAAGAUAAUGACGGUACCUGUUGAAUAAGCCACGGCUAACUACGUGCCAGCAGCGGC
Molecule: ribosomal RNA, 390 nt
Filed under: uncultured bacterium
Lineage: Bacteria
Description: bacterial SSU rRNA
Rfam family: Bacterial small subunit ribosomal RNA
Source: RNAcentral